UGAUCAAACUCUUCGCUUCUUUAAGGUUCCUGGUACCGAAGCUCCUUUCACUGGCUGUGUCAAGCGUGAUUUGGUAAUGUAGGUUAACACCUCUGUAAAAGGUAUUAAUAAAUUGUGGUUCUGAAUACCCAUGGUGGGGACAUUCAAGUUGGUAGCUCUUGAAUCUCUCCCAGGCGUUUCUGAAUAAUUCCUGGGGAUCUUGCCGGAAUGUGGAAAUUUUCUUCCUUACAUCCCAGUAACGCGAAAAUGAAAAGAGUUUACAGCGACUGUACUCGUCAUUCAUCAUAUCUUCUGCAUAUUUGAUGUUAUCGUGUGGGUGCGCUGAAACGGUUCCCCGGAUUUCUUAGUAUCGUAUUUUGGUAGUAUAAUGGAUGACCUAUUGGAAUAGGUCCUGCCAGGGUUUAAGUAGUCUUGCAAAGGCAAUUUUGUUUCUUGAUCUCUUUUUGGGUUAGAAUUAAUUUUAACAAGGAUCGCAGUCCCCUGUUCAUUUAUGAUUUGGUUAAUUGCAUUGCUUAGUUGACCUUUAGGUUCACCUAGGACUACUUCCUCAUUAGCAUGAUUGGUAAGAGAAAACUUACCUGCUUCCGGCUAGGUAUCAUCGAUCGAUUUUUGUAGGAAAGCGUCGAUUGAUGUUUUCGUCGACUCGUCGCUCGAUGUUGUUGUCACUUCGUCGAUCGAUGUCCGGCCAAAAUCCAUGUCCUUCCUCUUAAGUACCUGUGUCAGCAGGGUAAGAGUAAAAACUUUAGCAAAUUCAGUAACAAAAUCUAUACUAAAUUCAAAACUUAACUAGUGGUAAUAAGAAAGAGUCCCCGACAACGGCGCUAAAUUUGAUCACUCAAAUUACCCUAAGGAGUGAAUUACUCUCUCAAAUAAAAGGUUCAGAUGUAGUACUUAGGGAUCAAAUCCACAGAGACUCUAGGAUUACACAAUAGAUUUAUUGCUCAAUUGGUUUGAUUUGAGGUUGUUAACAGCUGGGGGAAAUAGCUAGAGUCAUGUAUAUUUUCAGGUAUGAUAAGUACAUAACUUAAUUUGGGUUUUUAGGGGUUUAUUGAUAUUAAUUAUUUUUGAACUCAAACUCAAGUAUAAUCAAUUAGAUUAUCUAAUCUGGAUCUCAGAUUUCAACUCUCGUAUGUUAAUCACGAGAAAGUGUCGAUCGAUGAUUCGUAAAGAAUAUCGAUCGAUACACCUUUCAAAAUAUCGAUCAACAGAACUAUCGUUGCAACGAUCGACACUUCUUCCAGAAAACUUUACAGAUGAGUUUGAUUAGUGUAAUCUAACUUACUAGACCAACUCUCAUGUGUAUCUAGUCAGUUAGAUCAUACUAGUUUAUUUUCAGGUAUUAAGUCAAGCAAUAGCUUAAUCUCAAUUAAUCCGAAGAUUUAAGUUUAAAGGGUGAUAAAUACUAAACUUAGCUUUAAGAAGAACAAUAUUUUUUAACACCCUAGCAAUAGUUCAAGUUAGCAUUACAUGUAUCAACGUAUUGAGAAACCUAAAUCUUACAGUAAGGACUACUCAGACAUAUUCAUAGCGCACAUGAUUAUGAUGGUCUGAACAAUACUUAAAUAAAAUGAAUAACAAGAGUAAGCAAUAAAGUAAAUGAAAGUAAAAGGAGUUCAAGAUCUUCUAUGUUUUGCAGUUCAGAUCUAUUUCUCCAAUCCUAAGCUCUCUCUCCCUCCAAUGGUGGUUUGUUGCUUCUCUCCAAACUAGGUCUAAAAGGUCUCUACGCAAGUCUGCCUCUAAAAUAAUACAAAACCCUAAUAAUAUAGCCUAACAAGCAGCCAAGGACUUAGAAUGUAAUUAUUGAAACUUUUAUGAAACUUGCAAUCUUCUAAUUUGUCAUUAACUCGCGGGUGGCUUCGCCGUCGAUCGAUGAGAAGAGCUUUCCAUCGAUCGAUUUUGCUUGGUAAUCGUCGGUCGAUAUUCUGAUAAAUAUUAUAUACCUCUAAAGAAAAUUAAGGCCUUUUACCCUUUACAAACUUCCGGGAAACUCAGGAUCCGUGCCUCUCCAAGUUUCCAAGGCUGCAUGUAGAAACCCGUUAAAAAAAAAUGGUCGAGUAUUUUUGGGCGGUCGAGUUGCGGGUGAUCAGAUUGUUCUUUUGUGAGCCAUGGGUCAAUUAUGCCACUAGACCAUGGUUAGAAAAUGUGGUAGACUGAUCCAAAGGACGUCUUAAGCAUGACAUUGUUGGAAGCACGACAUGAAGACCCGAAGUUGGGCAAAAGCCCUAAUUUCGGUAUUAUGAAAAUUUUCGAGGAAGCCGGAGGCUCGGGACAUAUUUUCCCUCAACUUCAGAGAUCAAAUGGAGACUAUUAAAAUUGUUCAGAGCAUCAGAAAAGGCGUAGAAAAAUAUUUGGGAUUGAUCGUGGGACGAAAAUUCACCAGAAGAGUCAAAAUCUGACGAACAGGCCGAGAAGCUCGAGGUGGCUCGUUGCAUGGAAUCAGAACGUGGUGUCAACUAUUCAGCAAGCUCAGUGUCUACAGAAGCUCGAGGUGUCACCGUGCAUGGAAGCUGCACAUGCAGCUUGACAUGUAGAAGCACGAGGUGGAUCAACCAAGCACGAGGUGUCUCCGCGCAUGCAACCGAAGCAUGCGGCCAGCCAUGUGUAUGAUGCUGUGGCGCCUUGCAUGAGGUACAGUCAUGCAGCCUGACAUCUGGGAGGAGUAGUGGCGUCCUGCAUGUGUCCUGGACAUGCAGCCAGCCAUGUGGAGCAUGAGGUGCCACCGUGCAUGCGUCCGAAGCCAUGCAAAGCAACACACGGACGGCCACCAACCUGAAUCUGAUUGGCUGCUGUCUUCUAUAGAUACCCCACGAACCCUGCUCAUUUCAACACAUCCAGCCCUGUCCAAACCAAGUUAAAAACGUGAAAGAAAAGUAGAAAAAGAAAGCAAGAGUUUCCGAUCUUUUUCGAGAGUUUUAGAGAGUUUUGGAGGUCAGUUCUCUACUGAUUUCGAGUCAGCGCCUAGGGACGGUUCUGUCCAACUGAAUUCGUCCAGACCACCCAGUUCCUUUGAUGAUCAAGUGGAGGUGAUGUCCAGAGUUAGUUCAGUUCCACGGUUUCAGAUCAGUCGAAGUUCUGCUCGAUACUCCGCCGGGAAGUCCGAAGAACUGUCCAGAAGCUAAAGGAGGUUCUGUCCAGAUCAGUCUGUCGAGGCCUGUCAGUUUCUUCAUGGUGAAGCCGAGGUUCUUUCCAAGUAGAGUCCAGUCCACUCCAGUCAUGUCGUCAAUUGGGUUUUGGCAAAGGCCUCUCCGAUCAACCAGCUGCUUAUCGGCAAAGAACACUGCGAGUUAUGAUCAAUUGAUUGCUGACUUGUUUUUAUGCAGGUUCCCGUUACUUGGAAGUUGGAUCAUGGCAGGAGGCCAGGUCUAAUUGAGUAACAUUUUGGUUAGUUAAUAGUUGAGUAUUGGUUGAUUGAGUUGAUAGCAUGCUUAGUUAUUGCUUGGGAAUCAUAGCAGCAUGCUAAUGGUUAGGUUGAUUGGUUAGUUAGCGAAUGCUGAAUGCUUGCUUGUUGUUUGAGGUUAGUCAGCUCUUGGUAAGGGAGUGACUAACUGGUUGAGUUGUUUAGUGAUAAUAUUGUUGUUAGUGUUGUAGAGUUAGAGUGUGAUGCCAUAUAGCUUGUGUGUAACCCACCAUGCUAGGCAUGUUUGAGGUGGAUUAGUGUUUCCUCGACCUCGUACCCAGUGGGUUUAAGGAAACCCCUUAUUCGCUGGAUCAAGAACACUCAGAGAGACGGUGUCAUGGCCCAUGGCUGAGUGGUUACACGGACGGGGUAGUGACCGGCAGUGACCCGACUGUACUGGGGCUGUCUCGUGGUGACCCGACUGUACUGUGGGCCGCGUUCGGUUGAAAGUUCCUUCUUCUAGUCUUUGUGAUAGGGAGAUAGGAUAUUGCCGAGGAUAGAGGAGGAACACUAAGUCACAAAGGGCCCUUGUUAUAGUGUAGAUACUGUAGAGGGUUGUUGAACCCUAGAUUGAGUUGAGUUUGAGUUUAAGUGGUUAGGUAGUCAUUAGCAGUUAUGAUUUCAUAUCAUUAAUUAUCUAGCUAUUAUUAUCUACUGCAUAUUUUUGAUAUUUCUUAUCUAUUGAAUUGGAUUGAUUUGUUGUUAGGUGAACCUCUCGCUUUAGAUUGUUUGGGGUGGGAUAGCGAGGGGUUGUAUUUGUUAGUUGGGGAUCAUAAUUCACUGAGUAACAUUAGGUUACUCAUCCAACUCCGUUGUCCUUUUUGCAAGUAGUUUAGGUAUGGAUGAUCGGAUAGCUGGUGUUGGACGUUAGGACCACCGGUGUAGAUUUUCAUGCCUUUUGUUAACGGUAUUGUGGAUUUGUAUUUACUUAACUCGAUUUUGGCAUUAGGCCGGGACCGGUCUCGAAUUAUAUCAAUGUUUGGAUAUUUCUCGAAUCAAUAAAAUAAUUGUUUUAUAUGCGCUACAAGAGUACUCUGAUAUUUCACUAGUCCGGUCUAACACAACGUUACGUCGUAGUACGGGUUCAAAAGCUUUAGGCCUCAAUCUAACAGAAAACGCUAACUCUAGGUACGGGUUGCAAAGCCUUGUGCCUUCACGCAGCGGGAUGAGUUAGUGGAUGAACUGGUCUAGGUCAUGGAGUAAAUUUUGUGACUCUGGCCAGAUCGUCCCUAGCCUGUCGCGUAGAGCUUCCAGACAAUGGUGUUGGGUUGGACGGUCAGUCAUGUUCUUGUUUGAUUGUUGUCUGGCCGGUUGGCUCAAUCAUCUCCAACCCUGGGUGUUGGACGGUCGAUCGGUCAUGUUCUUGUUUGAUUGUUGGCCGGUUGAUUUACCAUAUGUCUAGGACGGUUUGGGGGUGUUUUACUGCACCCCUCGACAAGUUGUAAGAAACGGGAAUUCCCAGUGAAGGAGUUAAGAAUACGCCAGUCUACAAGAAAGUAGGUUCAAGGCACGUACCUUCCUGAACUUCUACGAAAGAGAUAACUGAGAGAAAAGAGGGGGCAAACGAGUUAACACUCAACCCAAGGGGCAAACAUGCGUCAACAAAUCUUGUUGGCUUGCCCACUAAAGGGAGGAUUCAAGACAAAGAGACGGGUAAUUUAGUGACAUCCAAGAAACGCUGAGAGUGGCUCACCCAAGAGGGAGCAGAAAGCAGCCAGAAGAAGUUACUAAACGACAUCGACAAAAAGAGAAUAUCUACAGAUCCUCAUGUGCCAGAGCACUAGUUCCAAGGAGCCUCCAGGCUCUCAAGGAUAAAUUUACUGGUCCUCAAAGAGAAGUAGCCUCCACGCCUCAACAAAGAUCUCCAUUCCUCUAAGUUCCUGUUACAGGUCUAAGGACCCUGUAUCCAGCUGACGAAUGUUAAACUCAUUGAAGCAUCAGCAAGUCCAUCUCCGUCGAACCCUACAUCACUGGGAGAAACCUACGUGAGUUACAAGACCAGAAAGCAAAUCUUGUCGUCCACUGAAAUACAAGAUCAAGGUCUCGAAUCCUACAAGAUCACAUUCGAACAGGUCCAUAACCUGGAAGUACUCAUCAAGACCCCGAUCUACCAUCUGGAAAAAAAAUUCUCCUCCAGGUUCUAACACGGUCCAUGCCUAAGAAGAAUCAGAAAAAGGGAAGCAGCAUCUUGUCCACUCUAAUCAUUCUGAGAUGGAAUGACUCCGGUUGGCCAAACUACACAUGUUAUCUCCCGCCUUCACCCAUGAAAUCAAAAGAUAAGGAGCAAACUAUUGGGAGUAAAUAAUUUUGGAAAAUACUACUUGUUUCCGGGCAGGAUUCUGGUCUCCAUACACCCGCAUGAAGAAGUUCCGACUCCGACUCCGACUACGAAGCUCCGGCUCCGACCUCUGCUUCUAUCCUUAACACCAAAUAAAAAUGAAAGGUAAAAACUUUCCAAACUCUUACGCAAACGCAAUGUACUGUAUUCAAACUCAGAGUUUGUACAUGGAGCGACAAUAACAAUGGGUAUGAGACUUAAGGCAUGAAUAGGUCUGAUCAACCUGAGUAUGCUUGUCAAAACUACCUAUAACCUCGGUAUAUGCCUAGAGCCAUAUCGGGGCCACAUAAGCAAGAAUACUGUGACACCUCCGGGUUAAUUCAGGGAGUUUGCAUAUUGCAUAAGUACUGCCACAUGCAAGGGGCAAUACAUAAAUUCCUGCUUCUCCAGACGUGGAAAGCAGAAAAAGCCUGGCACUUGGGUUUCCGAAUCCAUAACCAGCACCCUUAAGUCUGAUAGUGGCCUUCUACAGAAAGCAGCAUGUAGCACGGGAACUCGAUAGUGACCAGUUUCCGAGCGGUAGAAUGCGAAAUCCCAACAGGUAUCGGUAGUUGCCUCACCUAGGAUGGCAGAAUACGGUCCCUUAAAAUACAAACCAAAUACCCUUGGGUUAUUAAGAACUUUCGGGUCCCCAUGCAGUCUCCGGGUCCUGAAAAAAUUUCUUCAGGACCUAGAAUAGGUAAACCUCUAGGUUCUUUAUAACCCUCGGGCCCAACAACGACCUUAGGGUCUGAAGGAACCUUUGGGUUCCCAAACGACCUCUGAGUCAAGAAGCCAUUUCCGGGUUCAAAACGACCUCAGGGUCCUAAAUACGACCUCAUGGUCUAGAGGAACCUCCGGGUUUCCAACCGACCUCCGGGUCCCUAAACGACCUCAGGGUCCUAAAUACGACCUCAGGGUCUAGAGGAACCUCCGGGUUCCCAAUCGACCUCCGGGUCCCAAAACCACCUCAGGGUCCUAAAUACGACCUCAUGGUCUAGAGGAACCUUCAGGUUCCCAAUCGACCUCAGGGUCCCUAAAUGACCUCAGGGUCCUAAAUACGACCUCAAGGUCUAGAGGAACCUCCGGGUUCCCCAUUGACCUCUGCGCCCUCACUCACCUCUAGGUUCUAAAGGUGAUCUCCGGGUCUAGGGCAGCCUCUGGGCUCCAGAAACGACCUUCGGGUUCCAACAACAUCUCCGGAUUCUGAAGCAGUACCAUGGUUCUGUAGGAUCCCAGGAUCCUACCAUUAAAUCUUCGGUCCCUAAGAGAGACCUGCUAUCUCAUCGGAAAAAUUCACGAGUAACCUAUCUACGGAAGGUGGAAUGUUACCCAUCCCUAUACUCCAGGUUCACGAGUAUAACACAUCUUGUUCCAUCUUUAAGACUUCUCAAAGGAUAGCUGGAUGACACAAAGGAAGACACUGCUCCAAAAAGCCUACCUAGCAAUCAACGAGAGUCUACCCGACGAAGACGACUUCAAGUCGAAAAGAUAUAUGGGAAGGUCCCCUUGAAGGUCCACACAACCAUCAGGUUCCCAAACAAAAGUCUUUAUAACCUAAGGGUCCCUGGACUAAGGUCCAUACAAGCAACAGGUUCCUUGACUAAAGUCCAUCCAGCCUCCGGGUUCCUGGAUGAAAGUCCAUACAACCUCCGAUCACAUCCUCGAACCUAUGGGUUUCAGAAAGAUCUAUCUCUAAACCUCCAGAUUUUGGGAGAGCAUGCCUAGGAUCCUCUGGGUUCAAUGAAAGCACGACGCAAGGUCAUCCCAACAUUGAUGGUGGCUACCUCCAUGGGGCAGAUUGCAGUACAACAUAGUUGAGAAUGGCCAAGGAUCAAUGGCAGAGUUCUACCAAUGUUUCCACCUACUUUAUUUGGCAUGGAAAUUACUGCUCGCGCAAACAACAUGUCCAAGAGAUCUACUCCGGUACCAAGAAUCAACUAGGUUAUCUCCAGGCACCAAGACGAACAUACUGACUGUCCCCUCUGCCAAAAGUCAAGGUACGAUCCAGAGACGAGGCAAGAAGCUACAGCUACAACAUCAACACGAAAGGAGCAUCAAGUAUGCUAAACGCAGCAAGGAAACAGGUACGGAGACCCUCCUGGAAGUCCAUUACAGCCUUUACAAGCUCGAGAGGCACAAGCAAGGCCAGAAGAAUCAAGCAUGAGGAUCCUCAGUUUCGGCCUCCAGGGCUUAUUCAACCUCUUCGUCCUCCUGAUCCUUAGCCUCGCCAAGAUUCUCCCUCUCAGAAUUCCUGGGUACUGACCCAUACAGUCUUCCACACGAUUCGUGGAACCAUAUAGCCCUGCCUGAGCUGAAGCCGAGUAUAGCUACAGAAGCCGCACAAGCACCUGGGGUAUGAUCAGAAGCAUCACCCUUUAUGCCGAUGUUCCCGGCUUCUCCAUCAAACUUUCGACCAACUCCGGCUUAAAUCUAAGAGAAAGAUGAAGUAUUCCAAUACAUACGACCUCCCUUACCAAAUUGGAAAUAUUCUAUUAUCUAAGGAUAUAAUGAAUAUUUUCAAAUUCUAAGAAGGGAGGCACGACCUUUUCUAUAAAUAUAGGUUUCUAAACCUAAAGAGGGGGUGGGGGGCAAGACGUCAAUAACUAGAGCUCACCAAUUCUACAGCCGCCAAGGCAAGAUUCUACACAUAGAAGACCUUCUUCUCGGACAAGCCUAGGAGAGGCUGAUCCCGACGGUUACUAUCGACCAGGGGAAGAUAUAUGUUCCCUGCAGCACGUCUACAACUCUACUGACUGGCUGAGGCCACGAUCUCAAGCUCAUCAGCAAGGUCCAUCCAUGCUCACUGAAGCACAUUGAUGCUCCUUGCUCACUGUAGCAUAUCGACAGGGUUACCAUCUGUUUGGGCUAUGUGCCCCCUAGAAUGGAUGACUCCAACAACCUACAGAGAUACGUGCUCCCUAGGCCAUGUGCCUCCAUUAAGGCUACGCGCCUCCAUCAGGCUAUGUGCCUUCAUCAGGCUACGCGCCCAUCUAGGCUCCGUUCCUCCACAUACAUGAACUACGAACGGCUUAAUCCCUCACUGAAGGGUACGUAGGAAAUCCCCAUUAAAGGAUGCAGCUAUAAACCCAAACACCUUCUAUGGUUCCACCCCUAGACGCUUAGGGACCGCCCCUGGUGGUCGGAACCAUCAACUACAGAUCAGGAGGCAUCCAAGGACCGACCAUGGAGUCGGGCCCAUCAAUUGCAGACCCAGAAGACCCUGCGAUCUUCACUACAGACAAGUGGUCCCUGCCUAACAGCCGACCUUUCUUACUGCUACUAAGGCACUGACGACAUAUACCAGCCCAUACCCGUAUGACACUACCCUCAGAGCAGGAUCUCCUGGCUUAUCCACGACCGAAGCUGGAGAAAGUAUCACGAUGACCAGUCUACUUCUUCCUAUCAUUCUGUAGUGCUGAGCACGAAUCACUUGUACACAAAAAUCCCCUAACAGAAGGUAAACCUUAUCUAGAUUUAUUUAUCACAAUUUUCUCUCUCUAUUUCGACCCUAGAGUAGUUAGUAUUAGUUACUAGUUAUUUAAAAAAAAAUCCGAAAUUUAUUACUUAAAUAGGACUUAGGAUUUAGUUAGGCGGAAUCUGAACAGGACUUGGUGACUACAACCAUUAAGGCUUGCUUCAUAAAGAUUCCAAAUAAAGAAUUCGAACAGGACUUGGAGGCGGCAAUCUUCAAGGCCCGCUUCACAAAGAAUUCUUGGAUAUAGGUCAAAAAGAAGUGAACAUGGCUUGGUGGCAACCACCAUUAAGACUUGAUUCAUGGAAGCCUAUCCAAUCUUGGUCACUGAUCCUGCAAUGGAAGCAGACUUUGACUCAAGAGAGAAAUUAUGAACUAUUUUUACCUGCAGUUCCUAAUGCACUUUUAUAUAUAUGCUAAGAAAUGAGGUUAGUAGAGGGGAAUGUCAGACAUUAUUUGCUAAGUUCUAGACUAGUUGAAUUUGGUUCCUAAGCUAGGAUAUUGCAUAAUGUGCUUUUGUGAUUAGGACUUUAGUUGUGGUUUGUGAAAUUGUAGAGGUGAUGAUUUCUAUGUUUGAUAUCUGUAAGUCCCUGCUGUUUUCAAACCUCAUUCAGAGAGACUGCUUGUUUGUUUUGCUUGAGGACAAGCAAAAGGGUAAGUUUGAGAGAGUUGACAUACCAUGGAUUUGAUCCAUUUUCCCCCAUGGUAUAUAAGUAUUUUACUAUCUGUAUACUAUAUAUCCUAUCCUAUUAGGUAUGUUUUCAGGUUCAGAAGUAUCUUGGAGUAAAGUGAUGAUUAUGGAGCAUUUAGGAGCAUAAAUGAGUAUUCAUCCGAGCUGAUCAUUAGAGGUCGAUACGAAGAAGACACAAUCGAUCGAUGCACAUCCAGUGUCGUCGAUCGAUACAGAAGAGAAGCCUCGACGAUUGAAGAUUGAGAUCAAUUGAUGUACAUUCUUUACCAUCGCUCGAUGUCGAGACGCGGAAGCACGACAUGGUUCCAGCCAACCUUAAACCCAAGACUUCACCAAAUUACAAGAUUACCCCUGGCGAGUGUUUAACCUAAUAGAUAUAUACUUGCCUAAGUGUUAGGAGGCAAGAGAGCUUUUGGUCAUCUUUGUAUUCUUAUUUUCAGUAGAGAGUUUUAGGAGAGAAGAUCAUAGAGAGAUUUGUGAUUGGAACUCCAUUGAUUCAUCUAUUCUAUUCUAUGCAGUUUUUAUUUAUAUUUUGUGUCAUGAAUUGCUUAGCUAUAUCUGAGUAGUUCACUACAAGAAAACACAAGUUUUACGAGGGCGGCUUUCCUCGUGACUUCGUCGUAAAAGCAGUUUUACGAGGAAUUAGCGAGGAAACCCGUUUCGUCGUUAUACGUUUGUCGUAACGCAUAUAUCCUCGCUAAUUCGUCGUAAGUUAGCGAGGAAAUGAUUUCGUCGUAAAAGCGAAGAAGAUUAUUUCUUCGUAAAGACCACGUAAAGCUUCCACGUAAGGACGUCGCUAUAUUUCCUCGUAAAUACCUCGAAAGGUGUUCCUCGUAAAACACACGUAAAUAACUCGAAAGUAAAUACUCGUAAAGUAAACGUAAAUACCUUGAAAGUUUUCCUCGUAAAAAACACGUUAAGUUUCCACAUUAAUUCCUUGUAAACUUUUCCUCGUGAAACCCUCGUUAAGCUUCCACGUAAAGAAGUCGCAAAAUUAGCUACGAAUUUACUUUGUUUCGUUAUUUUACAGAAAUAUAAAAAAUUAUAAUUAAAAAACUAAUUAAAAUUAUUUAAAUUAUUAAUAAAAUUAAAAUUCUAAAAUAAUCAAAACCAAAAUAUUUUAUAUAUAAAUAAGUUUUGAAUUUAUAAUACAAGAACCGCCAAUCAAAUAAAAAAGAACUAAGAGCUAGUCGUCGUGAAUCGCCCGGUAGAAUUCACCACUCCUCCUCGCGACAUCCUCCUCGGCGUGUGUGUCGUCGGAUGUUGACUCGCCUGGAAUAGGAUUUUGUUGUCGCAUGUUCCUCAAAAAGUUCUCCCAGUCCGGAUUUGUGGCCGCUACGACGUCCAAGAAGCCCUCGAGUCCACCCACACGAGCUGUGAAUGCAGAUCGCGUCGUGGUCAACUCGUGACGCAGCUUAGUGGACUCUCUACGCAGCUCUUCGGACUCUCUACGCAGCUGAGAGACUUCAUCAUCCCGUCGCUGACCAUAAGACGAUGUCGCUCUCAGAACAUCGUUGACGGAACCAAUCCCCAACGUCCGUUCCCUUUUUUUAGGGACAACCUUAAAAACAAAAAAUAAAUAUUGUUAGUAAAAAUUUAAAGUUAAAAAUUAAAUAAAUAAUAAAAAAAAAAUUUUUAGAAAAUUUACCUCCUCGUAAAUCUUAUCCACUUCAGGUGUGGAUAAGGUGACGGGUAAUCCAUCGGUGGACUGCUGGGUCAGCUGGGUCUGGCGGUAUUCAACUCGAGCAACCAAGUCGUUGUAGAUUUGCUCGGACUUGCCAUCUAGAAAUACGCCCGCCUUGUUCUUGUGGGUCUUCUCGUAAAGUUCCACAAGAGAUGGGAAAUGUCCCGUCUCUUUGACCUAAAAAAUAUUUUAGAAAGUUAGAAUAUUAAAAUUUUUAAAUAUAUAUAAAAAAUUGUAUUUAAUUAAAGAUUUAAUUACCAUUUCCAAACGGACACCGGCGUGAGGUUUUUGGCCCGUAGUGUGAAGCAUCGGCCCGUUCCCGUGUUAUGGGAGUUAGAGCAAGACUGGGCGACUCUAAUGGAAUCAGGAAGAAGCCAAUAUCGGAUGAGGCCAUCCCACACAUCCGUGGUGAGCUCAGCGGGUUUCCCACGCUCAUACCCCUUCACGAUCCAGUCACCCUUCCAGUUGGAGACCGUGUCCAAUAAGCGAACUUUCGCCUUCGCGACAAACUUCUUCCUCACCGUCUCCGUGAUCCCCAAAGCCCAAUGAUAUUUUUGCUGUUGGAAAAAAUAUAUAAAUUAAUAAUUAGUUUUUUAAAAAGAAAUUUAUAAAAAUCAUGAAAAAAUUAAAGUAUAUAUAUAUUUAAUUAAUAGAAACUUACAGCGUAAAUUUUGAACCACGUCUUUCUGACGUAGUGAGGCGUCUUACUCCAGUUCGGAUGUGGCAUGGAGAAGUAACCUUUGAUCGUGUCAGUUACGUCCGAUGCAAGACAAUUGUCAACCCCAAACCUGGAAAAAAAAAAUUUAAAAUAUAAAUUAUUUUUUAAUGUUAUAAAAGAAUUUUAAACAAAUUGAAUAAAAAAAAUUAAUGUGACAUACCACAAAGUUCCGUCCGGUCGGUCGGGGCGAUGACUGGUAAACCUUCUCUGCCUGGCAGACGGAGAAUGUCCUCUACAGUGUACUGCGAGUAAGGAGCACUCGGAGGCACCAUCAAAUCGGGAUGAAUUUCGGCGGGCAUCGCCGGAGGUGCCAUCGGAGGAGGCACAGGAGGAGGCAUCGUCGGAUGAGCCAUCGGGGGAGGCACAUGAGGAACCGAUGGUGCACUAGAAGAAGGAGACCCAGAGACUCUCUGAGUGUACUGAGUCUCGGGGACAGUCUCCUGACCCGAAGAACCGGGAGCUGAAGUAGACGACGGGUCUAAACGGCUACCCAGCUCACCGAACAUCUCUCUGUAAUGGGCAGUAAGUCUACCUUUUCAAACCUGAGAAAAAAAUUUAAUUUUUUAAAUUUUCGUCAACAGUAUAUUUCCCAACAUUAUCCACCUAAUCAACACUAAAUAACAUAAGAUCCGUAAACCUAUCUAAAUUCCCUAUACUAACCACCUAAUCUAUCCUAAACUAACUAAAUUAGAGAGUAUUUAGAGAGGCUUACCAUUGCAACGAAACAGGGAGGAAAUGGAGAGGAAGUGGAGAGGAAGUAGAGAGGAGAGAAAGAGUGAGCGCUCGGGGGUAUAUAUAAGAUUACAUACCGUCGCAAAUUCCUCGUAAGUUUACGACGAAUUACAGAGGCCCGUGUUUUUUUUACGACGAAAUAGCGACAUAAUACAAAGGCCCGCGUUUUGUUCUGCGAGGAAUUUACGAGGAAUGACAAAGGCCCGUGUUAUUAGAUACGUGGACUUUACGACGAUUUAGCUUACGUGGAAUUACCGAGGAAAGCUUCCCUAUAAAUAUACCCGUAACUCUCCUUCUCAACCCACACACAAACUCCCAAAUCACACUCUAUCUAUCUCACAUCAUACUCCCAAAUCAAUUCCAAUUCAAAUUAUAAAUAUUUGA
This is a long non-coding RNA of Brassica rapa (field mustard), 13398 nucleotides long. RefSeq lists it as uncharacterized. Lineage: Eukaryota; Viridiplantae; Streptophyta; Magnoliopsida; Brassicales; Brassicaceae. The record is from RefSeq and is a predicted model, not a curated record.